Molecule: ribosomal RNA, 266 nt
Filed under: uncultured bacterium
Lineage: Bacteria
Description: partial 16S ribosomal RNA
Rfam family: Bacterial small subunit ribosomal RNA
Source: RNAcentral
GUCCACCCCGUAAACGUUGGGCGCUAGAUGUGGGGACCAUUCCACGGUUUCCGUGUCGUAGCUAACGCAUUAAGCGCCCCGCCUGGGGAGUACGGCCGCAAGGCUAAAACUCAAAGGAAUUGACGGGGCCCGCACAAGCGGCGGAGCAUGCGGAUUAAUUCGAUGCAACGCGAAGAACCUUACCAAGGCUUGACAUAUACGAGAACGGGCCAGAAAUGGUCAAACUCUUUGGGACACUCGUAAAACAGGUGGUGCAUGGUUGUCGU